CAUCCACGGCCCCAGGCCAUCGAGCAGCUCCAGGGGUGCUUGUACACGUUUGAGGCUACCCGGAGAAAAUCGGUUCCGAGGGUGCAAUGGCAAAGAACAGAAAGCUGCCUGUGAACAACUGACUUGAGAGAAGAGGCUGUGGAGUUUGAUGGCAGCCUGGCCCUACUGUGCCAGGAGGGCUGGGGCUCAUGGUCCACCUGAACUGCUCUGGGACUGCUGAAAAAAUCUCUGCCAGAUCCCUUGGAGAGGAAAAUGCACUUGCUGGAUGCAGGAAAAGGAUUUGGGAAAAAGCCAGAAGACAAGGAGGCUUUUUUAAGAGGAGACAGAUAUGCAGCCUUCCCUUACUCAUAAGUAUGGAUCUGAAGAAAGGCAGAUAAGGUGUGCUGAGAGAUGGGACAGCUCGAUGGCAAAUUGCCC
Non-coding RNA from Zonotrichia albicollis (white-throated sparrow), 417 nucleotides. Lineage: Eukaryota; Metazoa; Chordata; Aves; Passeriformes; Passerellidae. The record is from RefSeq and is a predicted model, not a curated record.